This 737-nucleotide long non-coding RNA is filed under the name Nicotiana benthamiana. RNAcentral describes it as "long non-coding RNA (NBEN_LNC036843)". Lineage: Eukaryota; Viridiplantae; Streptophyta; Magnoliopsida; Solanales; Solanaceae. The record is from RNAcentral.
AGCAAACAAAGUUAAAAAAUACAGCGAGAAACACAUACAGUAGAAGAAUACUGGAAAUUAUAACAAAUAACAUGUAGGAAAACAUAACAAAUAUUAACAUGCGAACCUAAUCUAGAGGCACAAUAGAUACGAAGGUACAAAAGAGUCAUGUGUAGUAAAAAGAAAAUAGAAGAACAAGAUAUGCAUGGUAGAAAACCAAUACACGAGCAUAAUAUAGACAAAUCCACAUAAGGAAAAGAAAAGGAAGAAUCAGAAAGAUGUUUUGAAAAACUUUCAAAAACCCUAAAUCGAAGAAAAACAAUUUUUUGAAAGAAAAUUUUAGGGAAAACACUUUAAAAGUCUAGUAGAACACAAACAUAGCUUACAUCUAAAAAAACACAUAAAAACCUCGAAUAGCUUAGGACUUCAGAGGAACCUUAGAAAUGAGAAAGGUUUGGAAGAAAGUCCGAUCCGGAGUCGGUUGAGUAAGAAAUAGGCUCUAGUGCUUUGGAUACGCCGGAGCAGGCCGGAGAAUCCAUAGAACUAUAGAUCUGAAAGGAUAUGAAAGAGAACCAUCAAGGUCAGUGUUCAAAGCUUCGAACACCCAAGGUAUAAUGGUGGGGGCUGAGUACAGGUCAUCCAUGACUUGAGAAGCCAUGGAUUCCGAUGGAGUAACUGUUGAAAAUGGUAGAAGUCGACUAGGGUUCCAAAGAACUUUGAGAGAGUUUGAGAGACAAUGUGAUUCAAAGGCUGCUGAG